This 234-nucleotide ribosomal RNA is filed under the name uncultured bacterium. RNAcentral describes it as "partial 16S ribosomal RNA". It matches the Rfam family "Bacterial small subunit ribosomal RNA", at positions 96 to 334 of the family's 1533-position model. The record is from RNAcentral.
UGGCGGACGGGUGAGUAAUGUCUGGGAAACUGCCUGAUGGAGGGGGAUAACUACUGGAAACGGUAGCUAAUACCGCAUAACGUCGCAAGACCAAAGAGGGGGACCUUCGGGCCUCUUGCCAUCGGAUGUGCCCAGAUGGGAUUAGCUAGUAGGUGGGGUAAGGCUCACCUAGGCGACGAUCCCUAGCUGGUCUGAGAGGAUGACCAGCCACACUGGAACUGAGACACGGUCCAG